Molecule: non-coding RNA, 2150 nt
Organism: Heterocephalus glaber (naked mole-rat)
Lineage: Eukaryota; Metazoa; Chordata; Mammalia; Rodentia; Bathyergidae
Source: RefSeq, a predicted model, not a curated record
GAGGAGGUGGGGAGAUGGGCACCCCCAUCCUACCCUCAUUUGUCAAGGGGCGCUCGGAUCCCCUGGUGUUUCUUUCCCCUAACAAGCAGGCACUAGCAGGGUCCUUCGCCCACUCCGACUGGCCGCCACCGCCCCAGAGCAAGCCCUACCUACCCACCCGAGGAUGGGAGGAACAGAUCCAGAGGAGUGACCUGACCAUGCCAUAAAACUAGAAGGUAGCAACGCUGGAGUAAGAGCUCUGAUCUUUUUUUAAAAAAUUAUACAGGAAAAAGAACACACAAAUUUAUUACAUACUUAAGGCAUAGGACUAUUUGACUCAUGAUAACAAAUCUUCAUCUUUUCUAUGCUGCACACUUUUUAAAGUAUGAGUUGAGACUUUCUGAAGGGAGAGGUGGGUGGGGCACAUAUAAACCUAGGGCAAGGACCAGGCCAGGAUCAUAGGGCAGCUGCAAGCUGGAGAAGGGAAAAAGAAGUUGGGAAUUUUUCAGUCGGGGAAGACUUCCUGGAGGAAGAGAUUAUGGGUCAGGAUCAGAUAGGAAAGGAAUGAAGAUAGCAAGUAAAGAAGCAGGAGGGAGCUAGGUGAACUGGCCUGUACCUAAAAUCCCAGCUACUCGGGAGGCUAAGGCAGGAAGAUUCUACAUGUUCAAGGCCAGCCUGGGCAACUUAGAGACCUUAUUUCAAAAGCAAAAACAAAAAAGGCUGGAUAUGUAGCUCAGUGAUAGAGGACUUGCCUAGCAUGCACAAGGCCCUGGGUUUAAUCCCUGAUACUGUAAAAUAAUAAUGAUGAUGAUGAUGCUAGAAAUGGGAGGGAGCCAAAAAAAGGGGAGAAAGACAGGACCCAUACGAAGGCUAGGUGAGAGCAAAGGGUAUAAAUCAGAUUUGCCUUGCUGGCACCAAGUAAAAUUAGGUAGCAUUUAUUCAGGAUGUACUAUGUGGGGCUGGGGAUUUAGCUCAGUGGUUCUGCCAUCUGCCUCACAAGUGCAAGGUCCCGAGUUCGAUCCCUGGUACCAAAAAAACACACAAAAAACCCCAGGAUGUACUAUGUGUCAGGUACAUACAUUAUCCCAUUUAAUGUUCACAACAGUUCUGAAAAAUAGGUUUAUUUAUUUAUUUGAUACCAGGGAUCGAACUCAGGACCUUGCGCUUGUGAGGCAGGCACAGUGCCGCUGAGCUAAAUCCCUGGCUCACAAAUAGGUUUCUCAAUCCUAUUUCUAAAGACUCAGUUGAAGUUCAGAAUCUUUAAUGCUCACUUUGAAGUUCACAAUGUUUAAUAUCUACAUAGGUAGUUUUUUCUUUUUUCUGUUUUCUUAGACAGGGUCUUGUAGUUCUGGCUAGCCUUGAACUCACUAUGUAGCCCAGGUUGGCCUCGAGCUCAUGGCAAUCUUCCUGAUUCAGCCUCCCAAAUGCUGGGAUUACAGGUGUGCACUACCACACCCGGCAAGGUCAUAUAGUUGGUAGCUUGGUUUUCCUGGCCCCAGAACCCGUGCCUGGGCUGCCUGCUGAGUGUGGCCUCCGUGGCUUGGUCUCUCCUUCCAUUUCUGGUACUUCCACAUUUGUAGUCACACCAGUGGUGGGAAAAAAGGGGUCAGGAAGUAGGGUGAGACCAAGAGAGGGAGCGGCAGGCAAGCAGUGAGGACAUAAACUUUCCUUACAGCCAUGUAAGGAAGGAUAGGAGGACAUUCUUUUUGGAGGGAGGCUUCUAAAUCAUUUUCUUGGGAUGAAUGGCCGAGACCAGACUGAGGUCACACCAGGUAGUGGCCUUUAGUUCUCUUUCUCUGGAAAGAAGAGGGCUCAGGUGUGGGUUUGAGCCCUAGAUUAAGAUGGCCAGUUGUCCACUAAAAUCCUUCCUCUCGCUGUUAUAGGAGGGCAGAGAGUGACCCAGCUGAACACCUACUCCCCAGUCAUCCCUUGCUACCAGGUGUGGGCAGCAGGGAGUGAGAACCUGAGGACAGUGGUAAAUUCUUUGUAUUGUCUUUAUCCUGUGCUGGACAGAUGAGCCUGAGGCUGAGUUUGACCAGGCGCUUAAGGAGAAAUCAAAGUGACAACAUGAAAGGAACCUAAGUUCCCAGUUGAUUAUGUAGAGCAGAGGUGAUGAUACCCAAGAUUUCUUCCUUCCAGAAUGCUCUGUGAGAAAUAAACUAUUUUCUAUA